GUUAUGCUGAUGUGGAAUAAACCGAAGUUUGUAUCCCACUUCCCUCUGUGGUUUCUUCUGCCCCUGACUCGACGCCCUGAGAAGCGUAUAACCUGCUGGCUGGACUAAAAACUGGCGCACAAGUGUUCUCACCGAAGACUGAGGAGCAUCUGACUUGAUCCCUGCGGCACAGGGCACCUUGAGGUGGCGUGCGAGGGAGACAGAGGAGUCGCCGGUGAGGACUCAACCCCCUCCACUCUGGUCGCUGUGUGUGUGCAGCUUCGUCAACAACACCCUGACCUUCAACGCACUCAGACCCAUAUCCAGUAAGAAAUCACAAUCAACAUAGCAGGUGAUAAGCCAAGCUCAAAAUGAGCGUCACACCAGUUAUCAUUGUGAGUGCCAAAUACCCUGAGCAUGCAAAAGAAAUCCAAAAACUGUCAACUAAAUGGGAAAAAAGAACAAGAAAGCUUAACCGAAGCUGGCCAAAAGAAGGCACAUUCGACCCACAUAUGUGUGAAAUCAUGGAGGUGAGGAUCGAAGACUACAAAGCAAAGGAUCACAGCAAGAAACGUGAGGAAAAGAGAAAACAUGAACACAACAUUAUGAACAUAUUCAAAAUGGAAGGACAACGCUACAGAAGAAACAGCAGAGAAGAAAUGAUGGAACAAAAAACGAUGCAAGUAACGUCUGUCAAGCGCAACAACAACAAAGGCUGCCCAGCCACCGCCAGACUAUAUCCCUCACUCGUGGGAACAGUGAAGAUUAAUGGAGACGAUGACACAGAAGAUGAAGACGUGUGUGAUGACAAAACAGGAAUGUUGGCAUCCAAACACAGAGAUGCCCCGGAUCAAUUUCCACCGGAAGAGGGCAGAGUGCUGAGUCCUGAACACCAGUCCAUCCCAAAGCACUGCAGUACCCAGGGGAAAACAGGUGGGGAAGUGAGGUCAUCAAUCCUAGACUGCUACGCCGAACGGAAUGAAACACUGUCCUACUGGACUCAAUUAGACCAUGUGGGCAUCGACCCUGAACACAGAGCAAACCUAACUAUAAUCAAAGAAAUCGAGAUGGAGUUGGAUGAGAAACAUGACAAGUCGGGUGAAACAAAGACAAGAAAGCAGGGGGCGAGUGGAGCUGGAAGGGUUGACCUGAGAUACCGACCAAACAUCAAGCCGCCUGACAGAUAUACAGACCCUGGUCAGUUUCCCGUUCAGAUCAAGGGCAACAAAGCUCACUAUAUCCCAUGGCAAAUGCUCAACCUUGCAGGACUGUUCGCCCGACUGCCAGAUAUCCACGAAGGAGCCGGAAAAUGGAUCAGGGAGUUUGAGGAGGAGAGCGUUGACAGGAUGUUGGCACUUGGUGACAUCAAGGCUGUGUUGGACAAGAGUUUGGGCGCAAGCACGAUGGAGAACCUCCCACGUCACAGCGGAAAUGUCUGGAUGAUAGACGUGAUGGCCGACGGGACUGAGUUCAAUCCAUACUGGCCAAUGCUGUGGAGAGUGCGGAGAAGUGAAUACCCAUCCAAGAUUGAUCCAAAGGCACUGAAAGGAGAACCACUUGGAGAGAACGAGAACCCAGCUUCGUACAUAAGCAGGCAACUGAAGAGAUGGAAACAAGAGACGGAGGAGGAAGUCGAAGACAGUCCUCUGCUAUCAACUCUGUUCCGCAAUUACAUCAUCGAAGCCCUGCCACAACAAGUACAAAGCAAGCUGGAAGACGUCGUGGGGUUGACAUCCAUGCCUCACAGAGAAUUCCGUGACCACGUUGUUCACGCCAUCGAGCGACACCGGAGAAAUGAGCAAAGACAAAAUGAACAAGAGAGGGCUCAACAAAGAAAGCUCACUCAACUACAGCUCACAGAUCUCCAGAACAGACUGAAGGCAAAGACUCAAGCCGAUGUGAUGGAUCAAGGUGCCACCCUCGGGCCAACACCGUCGCCACAGCCAGCACUGCCAGCAACACAGCCAACAGCGCCACCUGUCCAACAGCCACUGGUUGUUAACAUCUAUCGACAACAGCCGCUCGGGCGACGACCCACACAAAUGAGACAGUCUCAAUUUCGCACUUGGGGGAGAGGCAUGACAAGGCCAUCAAAGAUGCAAGGCCCCCCAGGACUGUGUUGGAGCUGUGGUGAACCUGGUCACCUAGCUCGGAACUGUCAGAUGACCGGCCCCGGAAUGCCAGAGGCACAUAGGGAAACGCAGCCUAUGCAACAAAGAGGACCAGUGAACCCAUGGGCAGGUGCAAAUUAUGGGUAUUAGCGGGGCCCAGAGAAUCCUAGUGGGGAGGGCCAGCUUUCAAGCCAAACAGGUGAAGCUGGCGGAGAACCAAUCAUUCAAGUGAAAUUGGAAGACAGGCAAGUUCCAAUGUUAAUUGAUACUGGAGCCACUUACACCUGCGUGAGUCCAAAAUAUGCCACACACCUCCCCGUGUCGGGCAAGUAUGUCCAAACAGUAGGAUUCUCAGCAGUAAAACAAACCAUUCCAAUGACAGCUGCAGUGAGACUUGUCACCGAUGAAGGAGACGUUCAAAUACCCUUUCGUUCAAAUUCUAGUAUCAGACCAAACCCCUGUCAAUCUGCUGGGAAGAGAUGCGAUGUGCAAAUUGAAAAUCAAAAUCUGGUGCACACCAGGGGGAGUGUACAUUGACAAGAGUGGAGUAGACCAGCAAAUGUUCCAGCAAACAAGAGGUGCAUAAGUGUACUGGUUAGGGGAUGUCCAGAAACCAGCAACACACACAUUCAAAACUUGGGAAUUGUACAUCCAAGCGCAGAUUCCAAACGCCAGAAAGCCUCCCUGGGACUGUCACUGCACAAUGUAUUACAAUCUGUCAUGCAGCAAAAUCCUGAAGAAAUAUGGGACGAGAUGACAAAAGGAUUGACUGUUGACAUAGAGGCUGAGAGCAUCAUAAUCGGACGGCAAGGUGCCAUCCUCAAAGCAAAAAUAACUUCAUUGUGCAAUGGUUCAAGGUGUUAGAAUCCGAACCACACAUCACACUUGUGGGGAAUGACAGUUUUGAAUCCAACGGUCUUGGUCCAAUGGUGAAAGCAGCAAAACAGCUAGAGUGGCUAGCGAUGGAAACCCCGAAAAUAUUCACCUCAAGUGAUGGAAGCAUGAUCAAAAUCAUCUGUGAAACCAUGAUGAAAGUAAAACCACAAGCGGUGACAAUACCAGAACUAACAGAAGCCCGUGUUUAACCAAGUACUGCGACAAGACCUCGAAGGUCAAGACAUCAACAGCACACAGAUACACAUACACAGAACAAGACAAGGCUGUGACCAAGGUCAAGACCGAUCUAAAUAUGGAACAAGUGACUGGUUUGUUCCAACGAGAGUGUUAUGUGGAUGAGUUCCAAGAACAAGCAAAUGAACGAUGGUAGAGUUUAUUUUUAGCCUUUAUUAACUUUGCUAGCGUAACAAUUCACCUGCAAUAACUGAUCAACUCCUUCUGCCAGUCUCUUUUCUUUUUUUCACAAUUUCCUUCAGCACCCGUAGUUACACCACCUAUCCGCUAGGUGGUAGUGCUUCUAUGUAGCCACUGCUGUCACCGGCGUACUGUCGUUGGCUGCGGCUCAGUAGUUUUGUAACCCUGUGUGUGUCGGGGGACGCGAAUGUUGCGGAUUCCAAAUUAUUUACUGAUAUUGAAGAGAAAAUGGUGAAUCUUGGUCUGAGCCGAGUGGACGACGCCAUUGCUGCGAAACAUCCGGUGGGUUUUCUCUGCAUGUCGAUUCUGACAGGACAUAAACCACGGUCAAACUCACCUCUUUGGCGAAUCUAGCUUGGAGCUUUUCGAUAGUCAUUUGUUUUGGAAUGAUGUAUUCAGGGUUUGGAGAGCUACGCCGCCUGUCAAUCCCACGCUUUUAUGAAGGGAACUGGAACGUUCAUAUUCGGUGUGGCUGGAUUAUUUGCUGUCCAGAAGGCGCUACAGAGGAAACUUCCAUAUCCUCUCCAGUGGAAUCUCCUAAUAGCUAUAG
RNA transcript from Synchiropus splendidus (mandarinfish), 3951 nucleotides. It is a transcript of the gene named transmembrane protein 141, with no coding region annotated. The transcript has 4 exons. The record is from RefSeq and is a predicted model, not a curated record. Lineage: Eukaryota; Metazoa; Chordata; Actinopteri; Syngnathiformes; Callionymidae.